Molecule: ribosomal RNA, 490 nt
Filed under: uncultured bacterium
Lineage: Bacteria
Description: partial 16S ribosomal RNA
Rfam family: Bacterial small subunit ribosomal RNA
Source: RNAcentral
AGUGAACGCUGGCGGCAGGCCUAACACAUGCAAGUCGAACGGCAGCACAGAGGAGCUUGCUCCUUGGGUGGCGAGUGGCGGACGGGUGAGGAAUACAUCGGAAUCUGCCUAUUUGUGGGGGAUAACGUAGGGAAACUUACGCUAAUACCGCAUACGACCUACGGGUGAAAGCGGAGGACCUUCGGGCUUCGCGCAGAUAGAUGAGCCGAUGUCGGAUUAGCUAGUUGGCGGGGUAAAGGCCCACCAAGGCGACGAUCCGUAGCUGGUCUGAGAGGAUGAUCAGCCACACUGGAACUGAGACACGGUCCAGACUCCUACGGGAGGCAGCAGUGGGGAAUAUUGGACAAUGGGCGCAAGCCUGAUCCAGCCAUGCCGCGUGGGUGAAGAAGGCCUUCGGGUUGUAAAGCCCUUUUGUUGGGAAAGAAAAGCAGCCGGUUAAUAACCGGUUGUUCUGACGGUACCCAAAGAAUAAGCACCGGCUAACUUCGUG